AAGUUUGCUUGGCUAGCAAAGUUCGACUAGGGACUUGGGCUACAUAGAAAUUUUUCUAAUUCCCUAACACUCUCCCCCACCUAUCGUGCAGACGUCCUAAUCAUGUGCAUAUCCUUGCUCGCAGUCCGUCGUGCCUUCACGCCCACGCGGCCCCGAGCCUUGCUACCAUAGUCCGCCUAUGCUUCCACACCAACUCUUAGUGCCAUGCCUCUCUGAGCACGAAGACUAGCUUGCUUGCUGUGUGGAGAAGUUUAUUAUUAAGCCAGAUGUCACACCUUGAGGCCCUAUUUGUAGACCUUCUUAAGAAAAAGCUGUCGGCCAUUUGAAAAUUAGAGUUUGCGAAAAAUAUCUUUUUUUUAAAAAUCCUGCCUUGUCCAUGGAGUGCAUAGAUCUGUCAGAAAUACAAAGAUUUCUCUGUUCACGCGGAUAGAAUCUCUCCUAUAUUUGCAUGGCGUAUAAGCCUUUACAAUGCCAUACAACUCACAAUCUAGACUCACACCAACUAGCACACAUAUAAACAUAUGCAUAUGCACAUACAGCUAAUCAAUCCUUAU
Molecule: long non-coding RNA, 554 nt
Filed under: Ananas comosus (pineapple)
Lineage: Eukaryota; Viridiplantae; Streptophyta; Magnoliopsida; Poales; Bromeliaceae
Description: long non-coding RNA (ACOM_LNC005573)
Source: RNAcentral